This 432-nucleotide ribosomal RNA is filed under the name uncultured bacterium. RNAcentral's name for it is "partial 16S ribosomal RNA". It matches the Rfam family "Bacterial small subunit ribosomal RNA", at positions 29 to 507 of the family's 1533-position model. The record is from RNAcentral.
ACGAACGCUGGCGGCAUGCCUAACACAUGCAAGUCGCACGAGACCUUCGGGUCUAGUGGCGCACGGGUGCGUAACGCGUGGGAACCUGCCCUUAGGUUCGGAAUAACUCCCCGAAAGGGGUGCUAAUACCGGAUAAUGUCUUCGGUCCAAAGAUUUAUCGCCUUUGGAUGGGCCCGCGUUGGAUUAGCUAGUUGGUAGGGUAAAAGCCUACCAAGGCGACGAUCCAUAGCUGGUCUGAGAGGAUGAUCAGCCACACUGGGACUGAGACACGGCCCAGACUCCUACGGGAGGCAGCAGUGGGGAAUAUUGGACAAUGGGCGAAAGCCUGAUCCAGCAAUGCCGCGUGAGUGAUGAAGGCCUUAGGGUUGUAAAGCUCUUUUACCCGGGAUGAUAAUGACAGUACCGGGAGAAUAAGCUCCGGCUAACUCCGUG